UCCCUCGACUUUACAAAUCAUGGGGGUUCCAGUCCCU
Molecule: transfer RNA, 37 nt
Filed under: Thompsonella mixtecana
Lineage: Eukaryota; Viridiplantae; Streptophyta; Magnoliopsida; Saxifragales; Crassulaceae
Description: partial tRNA-Leu
Source: RNAcentral